Non-coding RNA from Xyrichtys novacula (pearly razorfish), 3735 nucleotides. The record is from the annotation of a GenBank genome assembly. Lineage: Eukaryota; Metazoa; Chordata; Actinopteri; Labriformes; Labridae.
UGCUCUUACAAAUGGGGUGGUGUUUGGGCGUCUAGGCAUUGGUGGAGGGAGGGCAUUGAUGGUUGUUCUCCUUCCUUCCAGAGUGAUCGCCAGUUGUCUUAGGACCUGGUUGUGUCUCCAGGUGUAGCGGCCUUGGGACAGACUGGUUUUACAGCCGGUGAGGAUGUGACUCAGUGUUGCAGGUGUUUGACAGAGUGCACAAGAAGGAUCUUCUCCAAACCAUUGGUUUAGGUUUUUGGGUGUGGGAAGAACAUCAUAGGUGGCUCUGAUGAUGAAGCUGAUUUGGCUUCCUUCCAUUUCCCAAAGAUCCUUCCAUGUGAGCUUACGAUGCUCCAGGUUUUCCCAGCUGGUCCACUGUCCCUGUUUGGACUGUGCUACUGCUGUCGCGCAUCUGUUUGCCUCCUCUUGUUGCCGAACCUGAGUAACCACCAGCUUUCUCCUCUGGGUUGAUGUUGCUUUGUGCCAUGUGGGUCGACUUGUUCCGAGUCCAAACCCGCCUCUUCCAUGCUGCACCUGUCCCACAAUGUCUCCAUGCCUGAGAGCAGAUUUGGCUUGCUGUACCGCCUCAGAUGGGUUCCAUUUCCUCCCAGUUGCCAGUCUGGGAGCAGCUGCACGGAUCACCUCAUCUUGCGACUCAGUCAGGGUCAUGUUCAGCCUCACCUUGGUGCACUUAAACUCCUCUGUGAGGCUAGAGAUGGGCAGUUCCAGGGCACCAUGUCCAUACAAGCCGAUGUUGCUGAGGCAACGCGGGAGGCCAAGCCACUUCUUGAUGUAUGAGCUCACUGUUCUUUCCAUCUUCUCGACUUUGGUCAUGGGGAUCUCAUAGACUGUUAGAGGCCACAUCAGGCGGGGGAGCAAUCCAAACUGCAGGCACCACAGUUUCAACUUGCCAGGAAGCAAGGUCUUGUCUAUGCUGACGAGGCCUUUGAUGGUUUCUUCCCUCAGCUGAUCACUCUGGUCCGAGUCUUUGAGAUGUGCGUUGUAUAGUCGCCCUAGGCUCUUGACUGGCAGUUCAGACACCAAUGGGAUGGGUGUGUCCUUGAUGUGGAACCUCUGGUCUGUGAGUCUCCCCCUGACGAUGGAUAUGCUCCUGGAUUUGCUUGGUUUGAACUUCAUCCGUGCCCAUGUGAUGUUGGCAUGAAGCUUUCCUAGCAGAUGUUUGGUGCAUGCAACGGUUGAGGUCAGGGUGGUCAUGUCAUCCAUGUAAGCGCGAAUGGGAGGGAGACGCUGGCCACACUUCAGACGUUCUCCACCCACAACCCAUUUGGAAGCUCGAAUUAUCACUUCCAUUGCCAUGGUGAAGGCUAGUGGGGAGAUAGUGCAUCCAGCCAUUAUUCCCACUUCCAAAGAUUGCCAUGAUGUUGUAUAUUCUGUUGUUUUGACACAGAAUUGCAGAUCUUGGAAGUAGUUUCUCACCAGGUUUGUGAUGGUACUUGGGAUGUGGAAGAAGUUGAAAGCUGUCCAGAUCAGAGAAUGAGGGACGGAUCCAAAGGCGUUGGCUAGGUCCAGAAAUAGGACGUGCAGGUCCCUUCCUUCCCUUUUGGCAGAUUGGAUUUGGUGCCAUAUCAUGCUUGUAUGUUCCAAGCAUCCUGAAAACCCAGGUAUUCCAGCUUUCUGCACAGAUGUAUCAAUCAGGUUGUUUUGCUUCAGGUAUGUUGUCAUCCUUUUUGCAACGAUGCUAAAAAAGACCUUCCCUUCCACGUUCAACAGGUUAAUUUGCCGGAAUUGAUCGAUGUUGGAGGCAUCCUUCUCCUUGGGGAUUACCACUCCUCCAGCUCUACGCCAUGCUUUUGGAAUGGUUUGCUUCGUCCACAUCACCUUCAUUUGCCUCCAUAGGAAGCGUAAGAUGUUUGGGGAGUUUUUAUACAGCCGAUAUGGAACUCCAUUUGGUCCUGGAGCUGAAGCUGCCCUUGCCUUCCUCACUGCUUCCUCGACCUCGCUCCACUUUGGAGGACUGUCAUCCAGCUGGUGUUCUGGUAGAGGAAUUGGUGGCAUGUCUGAUGGUAUCUCCCUUUGUUCAAAUCUUUGGCUGUCUGUGUGAGUGGUGAAUUAAAUGGUACUGGAUGACCGAUCAGGCUAGGUGUAGGGUAAUCUUACCCGAACCUAGAUGUAUCCCAUACUUGAAUGUGUUUCCCUGUAGUAAAAGGUGGUAUAUAAGGAUAACCCCUUGGCCUUUACUGCAAACAUUGUUUUUCUUGUCUGACAAAAUGUCGAAGACAUUUCAACUUGUAAAUUUUGAUGGUCCUUGACCAUCAACUUCUAGAACAGCCAAGACUGAAUGGAAGCUCUGUAUGCUAUGCCAAGAACACACGGCAGAGUCACUGAGAUGUCCUUUGCAGAACACACGAGCAGACAAGGGGAGUGGAUACACUUCACUUGCAGAGCAUUUGAUCCAGUUUAAUGAACUUGGCCAGCUCCCUUCAACUUUGGCAAUUGAAAGACUCGAUGAGGGUCAUGGUAUUGAAGCUGCCAUGGUUGCAAACAAAGCUCAAUAUCAUCAUACAUGCAGGCUGAAGUACAAUGAGACCAUGUUGAAAAGAGCAAAAAAGAGAGCAUGCAGCGAAAGUCCUGAUCAACAGUCAGAAUCCAAAGUCAGAAGGUCCCAACCAAGCCAGACUCCUGAAAUGAGACAGAACAUCUGUUUCAAUGAAGGCCUUCAUGAGGCUGCAACAUUUCAGGUGGACAAUCGAGCCUGAGAAAGCAUGUGCACUACCAGUGUUCCAUGCAUUGACCGGUUGUGACACCGUGUCAAGCUUUCUUGGUCAUGGGAAAAAGACUGCAUGGGCUGUAUGGGCUGUGUUUUAAGAGCUUACACAUGCCCUGUUGAAACUGUCUUCAGCCCUAAAGGACAUAACACAGGAAGUAAUGGCCACAAUUGAGAGGUUCAUUAUCUUAAUCUAUGACCGAACCAGCACAUGCACAGAAAUCAAUAUGGCAAGGAGGAAGUUAUUUGCAAAGAGGCACAAUGUGCAAGCAAUCCCUCCCACCAAGGCUGCCCUACAAGAGCAUGUCAAGAGAGCAGUAUACUAAGGAGGCCACGUGUGGGGUACAGUCCUGGUUUCAACACCAGAACUACCUUCACCGUGUGAAUGGGGCUGGUCAAAGACAUCUGAGGGGGACUUUGAACCCUUCUGGACAUCCCUACCAGAUGCUGGCCAGUCCAGUUAUGAACUGGUCUCUUGCAAAUGCAACAAGGGUUGUGUUGGGCAAUGCAAGCCCACUUACAGUGCACAGCCCUUUGUUUCUGUGAAGGUGAGUGUGAAUAGUCUUCCCUGUUAUCGACAAUGGGUUUGUCUUGCUUAAUAUUAGCCUUGUGAGAUGGAAAGAAGACUCUUGGAAAUUCUAAAGUUCUUAAUGCAAAUUCUGUAUCAAGAAAAAUAUAUGUUUUGACACAGAUAUCCAAAUCUAACCAGUCGCGGCCAUUUUGAAUUUUCAAUGAAAUUGCUCCACAAUCCAAAAGACAUUUUACAAGUACUAUGUAUGGUAAAUAACUUUGAAAUACGUUUCCAUUACAUUUUUUCGCAAAAUAAAAGCGAUGUUUAUCAAAUUUUGACAAAGUACAAUUGCGAUUUGCGGGUGUUUCCAUUGAAUGGUGUUCAGUGCAUAAGCGAGCCAUCUGCCUCUCGCGAGCCGUGCUUGAAUGGCCGUUGCCUAGCAACAAGGUAAACUUCCUGCCCGUGCGACCUCGUAUUCCUUAAGCCUUUUUGCACACCGACAUGGACGAGACACAAAACA